ACGGCGAGUGAAGCGGCAAAAGCUCAAAUUUGAAAUCUAGCACCUUCGGUGUUCGAGUUGUAAUUUGAAGAUGGUAACCUUGGGUUUGGCUCUUGUCUAUGUUCCUUGGAACAGGACGUCAUAGAGGGUGAGAAUCCCGUCUGAUGAGAUGCCCAUUCCUAUGUAAGGUGCUAUCGAAGAGUCGAGUUGUUUGGGAAUGCAGCUCUAAGUGGGUGGUAAAUUCCAUCUAAAGCUAAAUAUUGGCGAGAGACCGAUAGCGAACAAGUACAGUGAUGGAAAGAUGAAAAGAACUUUGAAAAGAGAGUGAAAAAGUACGUGAAAUUGUUGAAAGGGAAGGGCAUUAGAUCAGACUUGGUGUUUUACGAUUAUCUUCUCUUCUUGAGUUGUGCACUCGUAUUUCACUGGGCCAGCAUCGAUUCGGAUGGCAAGAUAAUGGCAGUUGAAUGUGGCUUCACUUCGGUGGAGUGUUAUAGCUUCUGCUGAUAUUGCCUGUCUGGAUCGAGGGCUGCGUC
RNAcentral lists this ribosomal RNA (512 nucleotides) under Hansenula anomala. Its description in RNAcentral is "LSU rRNA". It matches the Rfam family "Eukaryotic large subunit ribosomal RNA", at positions 86 to 601 of the family's 3401-position model. Lineage: Eukaryota; Fungi; Ascomycota; Saccharomycetes; Phaffomycetales; Wickerhamomycetaceae. The record is from RNAcentral.